RNAcentral lists this ribosomal RNA (253 nucleotides) under uncultured bacterium. RNAcentral describes it as "partial 16S ribosomal RNA". It matches the Rfam family "Bacterial small subunit ribosomal RNA", at positions 524 to 776 of the family's 1533-position model. The record is from RNAcentral.
UACGGUAGGGUGCGAGCGUUGCCCGGAUUUAUUGGGCGUAAAGGGCGCGCAGGCGGCUACGCACGUCCGUUGUGAAAUCGCUCGGCUCAACUGGGCGGGGUCAGCGGAUACGGCGUAGCUGGAGCAAGCUAGGGGCAAUGGAAUUCCCGGUGUAGCGGUGGAAUGCGUAGAGAUCCGGAAGAACACCGGUGGCGAAGGCGGCCUGCUGGGCAGUAGCUGACACUGAGGCGCGACAGCGUGGGGAGCAAACAGG